CUGAUUACUGACCCAACAUCUCUAUGUGCAAGGGUGUUAAAAGCGAAAUACUAUACUAAUGGGAGCCCUCUGGAAGCUACCCCAAAGAGUGGAUCAUCAUUUACGUGGCAGAGUAUACUCAAGGGGUUGGAAACUUUCAAAAAAGGUUACAUAUGGAGGGUUGAAACGGGAGAGAAUAUUAGGAUAUGGAGUGACCCAUGGAUCCCAUCAAGUCCUGACAUGAAGAUUAUAACCCCUAGAGGACAAACGAUCUUGACUAGGGUGAGUGAAUUGAUUGACCCUGAGCAUGGAACAUGGGACGAGGAUAUGAUACGUUCGGUAUUCAAUCCGGUAGAUGCAAGACGAAUCCUUCAAAUACCAGUAAAUAUCAACUCUUUUGAAGAUUUUGUCGCGUGGCAGCCGAACCGAUCCGGGAUAUUUUCGGUACGCACUGCGUAUCAUUUGCAGUGGAUGCAUAAUUACAGGGCACAUGCAACUCAGCUAGUCCAUCCAGGAAGCUCCACUCCAUUGGCUAUAUGGAACACUCCCUGGAAAAUUAAAGUACCACGUAAAUUUCAAAUUUUUGGGUGGCGAGCGCUUCGAGGAAUUGUCCCACUAAAAGCAAUACUCACAAACUGA
This 618-nucleotide ribosomal RNA is filed under the name Triticum aestivum (bread wheat). RNAcentral's name for it is "partial small subunit ribosomal RNA". Lineage: Eukaryota; Viridiplantae; Streptophyta; Magnoliopsida; Poales; Poaceae. The record is from RNAcentral.